GCGGGUAUGGCGAAAUUGGCAGACGCGCUAGACUUAGGAUCUAGUGCCGCAAGGCUUGGGGGUUCAAGUCCCUCUACCCGCA
RNAcentral lists this transfer RNA (82 nucleotides) under Saprospiraceae bacterium. Its description in RNAcentral is "tRNA-Leu". It matches the Rfam family "tRNA". Rfam says of the family: Transfer RNA (tRNA) molecules are approximately 80 nucleotides in length. Their secondary structure includes four short double-helical elements and three loops (D, anti-codon, and T loops). Further hydrogen bonds mediate the characteristic L-shaped molecular structure. tRNAs have two regions of fundamental functional importance: the anti-codon, which is responsible for specific mRNA codon recognition, and the 3' end, to which the tRNAs corresponding amino acid is attached (by aminoacyl-tRNA synthetases). tRNAs cope with the degeneracy of the genetic code in two manners: having more than one tRNA (with a specific anti-codon) for a particular amino acid; and 'wobble' base-pairing, i.e. permitting non-standard base-pairing at the 3rd anti-codon position. The record is from RNAcentral. RNAcentral also lists the same sequence under 2 other names. Lineage: Bacteria; Pseudomonadati; Bacteroidota; Saprospiria; Saprospirales; Saprospiraceae.